GAUGAACGCUGGCGGCGUGCCUAAUACAUGCAAGUCGAGCGAACAGACGAGGAGCUUGCUCCUCUGACGUUAGCGGCGGACGGGUGAGUAACACGUGGAUAACCUACCUAUAAGACUGGGAUAACUUCGGGAACCCGGAGCUAAUACCGGAUCACAUGUUGAACCGCAUGGUUCAACAGUGAAAGACGGUCUUGCUGUCACUUAUAGAUGGAUCCGCGCCGCAUUAGCUAGUUGGUAAGGUAACGGCUUACCAAGGCAACGAUGCGUAGCCGACCUGAGAGGGUGAUCGGCCACACUGGAACUGAGACACGGUCCAGACUCCUACGGGAGGCAGCAGUAGGGAAUCUUCCGCAAUGGGCGAAAGCCUGACGGAGCAACGCCGCGUGAGUGAAGAAGGUCUUCGGAUCGUAAAACUCUGUUAUUAGGGAAGAACAAAUGUGUAAGUAACUAUGCACGUCUUGACGGUACCUAAUCAGAAAGCCACGGCUAACUACGUG
Molecule: ribosomal RNA, 497 nt
Filed under: uncultured bacterium
Lineage: Bacteria
Description: partial 16S ribosomal RNA
Rfam family: Bacterial small subunit ribosomal RNA
Source: RNAcentral